Ornithodoros turicata is the source of this 1186-nucleotide long non-coding RNA. RefSeq lists it as uncharacterized. NCBI's taxonomy places the organism in Eukaryota, Metazoa, Arthropoda, Arachnida, Ixodida, Argasidae. The record is from RefSeq and is a predicted model, not a curated record. The transcript has 2 exons.
GUAACCGCCCCUGGACAGCCGACAAGGGUCCGAGCAUCUGCAGUCUAAAGUGAACAUCCAUUGAACGCCUCCUGGACGCGUCAGUUAGGAUGCUCCAAUGAGCAUACAUCAGCAGACGUCCCACAUAUAUCACCCUGUGGACACCGUGCGCACCCUAUCCGCACUGUGUCCACAAAGAGCCAUUUGAGCACCCCUUUUCGCUCCUCACCCUCCACCUCGUUCUUCUCUCCCGCUCUGUCGUAUGACUGCGUUGCCGCCAAAGGAGAAAUCUGCGCAUAAGGCUUUUUUUUUCGCAGCGCGCAGAAGAGAGAGUCACGUGGUGCCAUAGCCCGUUGUGCGGAUGAUUUCAAACGGCGCUGGAGAGGCUGGAGAAACAUGGUGGCGUCUACGAUGGCUUGCAGGAAUACGGUAAUUUUCAACGCGAACAGCACCGGUACAGCUUGAAUUUUGUGACGAGGUAGGUGCAUAUGCCUUGGAGGUAACGGAUUCUAAAUCAGGGGCGACUAUCUAUGACUGAAAUGCAGGUAAGCGGCCGUGGUGCCUUUGUUUGUUAGCGCUCGCGUUUUACACCCUUUUGUUCUUCAAGUCGCUUUAGCCCACUGGCUAGUGCACAAAAAUGCAAUCGAUCCUACCUGAGCUUGUAAUAUAAGCAUAUUAGCACGUGCGUGCUACCUUUAUUUUGUGGUCCCCUCAGUGUGUUCUUGAUGAUCUUCCAGACAUGAACGGCUAUACCGCUCAGCAUCGGCCAUUCAUUACUGUGUGCGUCUCAGCGUCCCUCAGAGAGUGCGGGAGGAGAGUGUAUGAGCAGUCUUGGAAUUAUUUACUGUCUCAUGCGUUACAGUGUGCCUCAGCGGCAGAAGUUGCCCAGUGAGUUCCAGAGGCCGGAAGACACAGAAAGGAACAAUAUAGAGAGACCGAUAGCCAUUAAUAAGGCGCGAAGGAGCGUGAGGAUACACUUGCGUCGCUUCCGUGCAAGAUGCCAACUAAUUAUACGGCGAGUAACAUGAAUGUUUUUUGUUUCUUGUUUACAUAACCUGGCGAUUGACCACAAUCUGCAUGAACGGGAAUGAUCUGGAUAUGGCACCUUGUCACGUUCCUUCAUUAUUUGUACUGCUGAUGUGUCGGUAGGCAUGUACGAACGCACAUGUAAAUAAAGUCCACAUUGAAAUAAAGUAUUUUGGGUGCA